Molecule: ribosomal RNA, 367 nt
Filed under: uncultured organism
Description: bacterial LSU rRNA
Rfam family: Bacterial large subunit ribosomal RNA
Source: RNAcentral
CUUUACUGUAACUUGAAAUUGAAAUUGGACUUUAUUUGCGCAGUAUAGGUGGGAGGCGUUGAAAGGAAUCUUGCGGGAUUCGUGGAGCCAUCAGUGAGAUACCAUUCCUAUAAUGUUAGAUUUCUAACUUUGUAUCAUGAUCUGGUCAAAGAACAGUUUCAGGCGGGCAGUUUGACUGGGGCGGUCGCCUCCCAAAUGGUAACGGAGGCGUACAAAGGUUUCCUCUGAACGGGUAGAAAUCGUAUCUAGAGUAUAAAGGCAUAAGGAAGCUUGACUGUGAGACCUACAAGUCGAGCAGGGACGAAAGUCGGUCGUAGUGAUCUGACGGUGCUGAGUGGAAAGGCCGUCACUCAACGGAUAAAAGUUA